This 557-nucleotide ribosomal RNA is filed under the name Guibemantis flavobrunneus. Its description in RNAcentral is "partial 12S ribosomal RNA". The stretch from base 1 to 490 matches the Rfam family "Bacterial small subunit ribosomal RNA", at positions 801 to 1533 of the family's 1533-position model. Lineage: Eukaryota; Metazoa; Chordata; Amphibia; Anura; Mantellidae. The record is from RNAcentral.
UAAAAAAUGACCCACAACAUCAAGCGCCGGGGUAUUACAAGUGCAAACUUAAAAUCCAAAGGAUUUGACGGUGUCCCACCCACCUAGAGGAGCCUGUUCUAUGAUCGAUAAUCCUCGAUAUACCUCACCAUUUCUUGUUAUUCAGACUGUAUACCUCCGUCGUAAGCUUACCAUUUGAGUGCAGAAAAGUAAGUUUAAUGAUUAUUCACCAAUACGUCAGGUCAAGGUGCAACCAAUGAAACGGGAAGCAAUGGGCUACAAUCUCUAUAAAUAGAACAUACGAAAUACUACAUGAAAAAUAGUCAUGAAGGCGGAUUUAGUAGUAAAAGAAGAAUAGCGUGCUUCUUUUAACAAGGCUCUGGGACGUGUACAAACCGCCCGUCACCCUCUUCAAUAGCAUACCCUAUUUUAUAAUACUCAAAAGCAUCUUAGAAGAGGCAAGUCGUAACAUGGUAAGUGUACUGGAAAGUGCACUUGGCAAAUCAAAAUGUAGCUUAAAUAAAGCAUCUCGCUUACACCGAAAAAAUAUCUGUUUAACCCAGAUCACUUUGAGAUAU